Molecule: small RNA, 123 nt
Filed under: Allorhizobium borbori
Lineage: Bacteria; Pseudomonadati; Pseudomonadota; Alphaproteobacteria; Hyphomicrobiales; Rhizobiaceae
Description: Rhizobium borbori Alphaproteobacterial ar14
Rfam family: Alphaproteobacterial ar14
About the family: Smr14C2 was renamed NfeR1 (Nodule Formation Efficiency RNA) highly expressed in salt stress and during the symbiotic interaction on legume roots.
Source: Rfam by way of RNAcentral
AGCCAUCGCAGCGGCGCACUCCUCCUCCCAGCGCCCUGGGAUCUGAUCGGCAACACUCCUCCUCCUCCCAGUUGCCGAUACAAUCAAAGCCUGACGCACCUCCUCCCGCGUCAGGCUUUUUUG